Molecule: non-coding RNA, 922 nt
Organism: Arachis ipaensis
Lineage: Eukaryota; Viridiplantae; Streptophyta; Magnoliopsida; Fabales; Fabaceae
Source: RefSeq, a predicted model, not a curated record
AAUACUAACAGUCCGAUCAGACAUGUAAAACCGGAAAUCAUAAAACCGGUAAAAAACCGUUGAACCGGAUGAGAACCGGCCGGUCAGACCGAAUCGGAACCCGGCCGGUUUACACAAAAAAGGGAAGCUCAUUCGUUUCUUUCUCCCUUUCUCCCUUUCUUUCUUUGAAUCAGAGAAAUCACCCAAACCCAACCACAAAACCCUAGCACUGUAAGCCUACACCACCGCCACAAGGAGUGGCAUACUGCCGCCGUCUGUCGCAUUCAAAGUUCGAAAUCCGUCAUCUAGCUUCCCUCGUGCUUCAAAUCUUCAACCCCUGUUCACUGUCACCGAUCGCGGUUGCUUCCUCGAGCUCGGCGUCCGUCGUCUUUGUCUGCUCAGCGCGCUUCCGUCGCCGUUUGUUUUCCGUUCACGUUUGCGUCUUCGUUCGCGUUCUUCGCCAUUCGCGUUCGCUCGGCGUUCACCGUUCGCGUUCACUCGCUGUUCACCGUUCGAGUUCGCAUUUGUCUGGAAGCCACGUUGCUCUGCUUUAAACUCUGCCACCAACCCGCGCGCUCCACUCAGCCGUCGAACUGCUCUCUUUUGUCCCCGCCGUUUAGUGUGAUUAUUGGUUAAUGUUUUGGUUUAGUGUUCUCUCUUUUCUAGAUUUCCCUUCUCCCUGUAUUUCUGCAUGUUGCUGAAUUGGUAAUCAAUAAAUUUGCCUUUUUGCUGUAACUCGGGACUUUACUAGGAUUUGUUAAAUUUGUUGCUGUAACUUGCAUUUGUUGCUGAAUUUGUUGCUUCCCAGUCACAAAAUUAGAACAGAAUGCUCAGUCAGUGUUUGAUUGAUUGGCUUUGCUCACCGAUUGUAUUUGAUGAUAAAUUUUAAAUUGAUAACUUUUAAAUUUUAAAUUUGCACUGCCCAUGUUACUGAUUCACUGUU